UGGGGAAUAUUGCGCAAUGGGCGAAAGCCUGACGCAGCGACGCCGCGUGAGGGAUGAAGGCCUUCGGGUUGUAAACCUCUUUCAGCAGGGACGAAGCGAAAGUGACGGUACCUGCAGAAGAAGCACCGGCCAACUACGUGCCAGCAGCCGCGGUAAUACGUAGGGUGCAAGCGUUGUCCGGAAUUAUUGGGCGUAAAGAGCUCGUAGGCGGCCUGUCGCGUCGGCUGUGAAAACCCAGGGCUCAACCCUGAGCCUGCAGUCGAUACGGGCAGGCUAGAGUCCGGCAGGGGAGACUGGAAUUCCUGGUGUAGCGGUGAAAUGCGCAGAUAUCAGGAGGAACACCGGUGGCGAAGGCGGGUCUCUGGGCCGGAACUGACGCUGAGGAGCGAAAGCGUGGGGAGCGAACA
Molecule: ribosomal RNA, 407 nt
Filed under: uncultured bacterium
Lineage: Bacteria
Description: bacterial SSU rRNA
Rfam family: Bacterial small subunit ribosomal RNA
Source: RNAcentral